UACGGGGGGGGCAAGCGUUGUUCGGAAUUACUGGGCGUAAAGGGCUCGUAGGCGGCCAACUAAGUCAGACGUGAAAUCCCCAGGCUCAACCUGGGAACUGCGUCUGAUACUGGAUGGCUUGAAUCCGGGAGAGGGAUGCAGAAUUCCAGGUGUAGCGGUGAAAUGCGUAGAUAUCUGGAGCAAUACCGGUGGCGAAGGCGGCAUCCUGGACCGGCAUUGACGCUGAGGAGCGAAAGCCAGGGGAGCAAACGGG
RNAcentral lists this ribosomal RNA (253 nucleotides) under uncultured bacterium. RNAcentral describes it as "partial 16S ribosomal RNA". It matches the Rfam family "Bacterial small subunit ribosomal RNA", at positions 524 to 776 of the family's 1533-position model. The record is from RNAcentral.